AUUGAACGCUGGCGGCAGGCCUAACACAUGCAAGUCGAGCGGACGCACGGUGAGCUCUCUCUCUUACCGUUAGCGACGGGCGGGUGAGUAAUACGUACAUCACCGACUGAUAAGGCUUGGGUAACGACGGGGGACCAGAUACACUACUGGCUCAUACGGCGAACGGGAGGGAUCAUUAGAGCUUGAGACCUUUGCUGACACUAGGAGGUGAUUCCGCGUUGGAUUAGCUAGUUGGUAAGGUAACGGCUAACCAAGGCUACGAUGCGUGGCUGAUCUGAGAGGGUGAUCAGCCACACUGGAACUGAGACACGGUCCAGACUCCUACGGGAGGCAGCAGUGGGGAAUCUUGCGCAAUGGGCGAAAGCCUGACGGAGCAACGCCGCGUGGGUGAAGAAGGUCUUCGGAUUGUAAAACUCUUUUAUUAGGGAAGAAAAAAUGUGAGAGUAACUAUGCCCGUCUUGACGGUACCUAAACAGAAAGCCACGGCUAACUUCGUG
This 497-nucleotide ribosomal RNA is filed under the name uncultured bacterium. RNAcentral's name for it is "partial 16S ribosomal RNA". It matches the Rfam family "Bacterial small subunit ribosomal RNA", at positions 30 to 507 of the family's 1533-position model. The record is from RNAcentral.